UGAAAGCUGGGGGAGCAAACCGNNNNNNAUACCCGGGUAGUCCCAGCUGUAAACGAUGCAGACUCGGUGAUGCAUUGGCUUGUGGCCAAUGCAGUGNNNNNGGGAAGCCGUUAAGUCUGCCGCCUGGGAAGUACGUACGCAAGUAUGAAACUUAAAGGAAUUGGCGGGGGAGCACCACAAGGGGUGAAGCCUGCGGUUCAAUUGGAGUCAGCGCCAGNNNNNUUACCUGGGGAGACAGCAGAAUGAAGGUCAAGCUGAAGACUUUACCAGACACGCUGNGAGGUGGUGCAUGGCCGUCGCCAGCUCGUGCCGUGAGAUGUCCUGUUAAGUCAGGUAACGAGCGAGACCCCUGCGUCUAGUUGCUACCAUUACUCUCUGGAGCAGUGGAGCGAAUUAGACGGACCGCCACAGUUAAUGUGGAGGAAGGAAGGGGCCACGGCAGGUCAGUAUGCCCCGAAACC
This 461-nucleotide ribosomal RNA is filed under the name uncultured archaeon. Its description in RNAcentral is "partial 16S ribosomal RNA". It matches the Rfam family "Archaeal small subunit ribosomal RNA", at positions 705 to 1163 of the family's 1478-position model. The record is from RNAcentral.